This 387-nucleotide RNase P RNA is filed under the name Allobacillus salarius. RNAcentral's name for it is "Allobacillus sp. SKP4-8 RNase P RNA component class B". It matches the Rfam family "Bacterial RNase P class B". From Rfam's summary of the family: Ribonuclease P (RNase P) is a ubiquitous endoribonuclease, found in archaea, bacteria and eukarya as well as chloroplasts and mitochondria. The record is from RNAcentral. RNAcentral also lists the same sequence under 1 other name. Lineage: Bacteria; Bacillati; Bacillota; Bacilli; Caryophanales; Bacillaceae.
AUGCUCAAGUAACCGCUCGUACAUGUUUGCGAGAGGAAAGUCCAUGCUCACACAAGCUGAGAUGCUUGUAGUGUUCGUGCUUGACGAAACAAUAAGUCAAGGCAGCGAAUGAUCGCUGACGGCAGGGUUUCGACCUACGUCCUCAACGGAUAUGGUCCAUAACCCUUUAAAGUGCCACAGAGACGAGCUUGAUUGGAAACAAUCAAGGUGGAACGCGGUAAACCCCUCGAGUGAGAAACCCAAAAUAAGGUAGGGGCGCUCUAUUGCAGGGAAUUCAACCUAGCAUAGAGGCAAACUUGUUAGACAAGUUUGCAGAUAGAUGGUUACACCGGAGUACGAGGCUGACCACCGUUUGCAGUACAAAGGAACAGAACAUGGCUUAUGUAG